This 702-nucleotide long non-coding RNA is filed under the name Manihot esculenta (cassava). Its description in RNAcentral is "long non-coding RNA (MESC_LNC007989)". The record is from RNAcentral. Lineage: Eukaryota; Viridiplantae; Streptophyta; Magnoliopsida; Malpighiales; Euphorbiaceae.
UACCCGUUCUAAAUCCGUUUAACACUAUCCGCAUAAUAUCCGAACCCAACCGAACCUGAUUUUUUAUAUCCUUUUUGAAUGUGGCGAAGUCAAUCUUAUAAUCAACUUUGGAUUUGAGAGAGCCACAAAGGAAAAUUAUCCUUGAACACAGCUAGCUAUGACAUUAUCCUCCAUUCUCAGCUUAUUCUUUUCCCACGCUGCCUCCCACAAGCCACAACCCCAAACCUUGUUUUCUUCUUCCUUUUGACGAAGAAGAAAAGGCAGAAGAAAAAGUAGUAGUAAUAGUAAUAAAAAUAAUAAAUCACCCCAUCAUAACUGUUAAUAGUAUCCAAAUAAUCAAAUUAAUAUUCCAUAAAUUAUACAAAUCUUUAAUAGCAACUAAACAUUCUUUAACAACAUGCACAUAAAAGAUCUUGAUUAUCAAAAAAUUUGAUUGCAAACCUGAAGAGAGUUCCAGUCAAAGGAGAUGUCGCCGACGCCGAUUGGGGAGAGAAGCGUCAAUAGGAAAGAGUAGAUGUCACCGACUGGGGAGAGAGAAGGAGAUGUGGCCGAUGCCGACCGGGGAGAGGGAAGAGUUGUCUCCGACUGGGAAGUGGGAGAUGCGGCCACUGAAGAGAGAGAAGGAGAUAUCGGGAGAGAGAAGAUCUAUUGUCGACUGGGAAGAGAAGUAGACGUCGCCGAUGCCGAUUGGGCUGCCGGCAG